AGCAGCCGCGGUAAUUCCAGCUCCAAUAGCGUAUAUUAAAGUUGUUGCAGUUAAAAAGCUCGUAGUUGAGUUUCGGGAUUAAUAUGUUGGUCGUGCCUUGGUACGUACUGGCAUUAUUGAUUCCUACCUUCUGAAGAACCUCGAUGUCAUUAAUUUGGUGUCUUGGGGAAUCAGGACCGUUACUUUGAAAAAAAUUAGAGUGUUUAAAGCAGGCUCGCGCUUGAAUACAUUAGCAUGGAAUAAUGAAAUAGGACGUUUGAUUCUAUUUUGUUGGUUUCUAGGAUCGACGUAAUGAUUAAUAGGGAUAGUUGGGGGCAUUAGUAUUCAAUUGUCAGAGGUGAAAUUCUUGGAUUUAUUGAAGACUGACUACUGCGAAAGCAUUUGCCAAGGAUGUUUUCAUUAAUCAAGAACGAAAGUUAGGGGAUCGAAGACGAUCAGAUACCGUCGUAGUCUUAACCAUAAACUAUGCCGACUAGGGAUCGGAUGAUGUUAAUUUUUUAAUGACUCAUUCGGCGCCUUA
Molecule: ribosomal RNA, 520 nt
Filed under: uncultured Glomus
Lineage: Eukaryota; Fungi; Glomeromycota; Glomeromycetes; Glomerales; Glomeraceae
Description: SSU rRNA
Rfam family: Eukaryotic small subunit ribosomal RNA
Source: RNAcentral